AAAAAUGAUCCUGAUGGGACUGGGAAUUGGAGCUAUGGUGACCUUAGAGCCAGGAUUUCAGGCUGACUUGUGCAGCCAGCCAGCUCAGUAUGGAAGCCCUGAGAAGCCAGGGAACCUGGGACACGAGCCCAAGGAGGAUUUUGAACUUGGAACUGGGACUGAGCUCUAUGAGAACCAAACUAGACUACAUCUUAAUCUCCUUUCCAUCCCCAGAGAUUGAAGUGAUUCAAGAAGAAAAGAGGAUUAUGCCACCCACAUGUCGGAAGGAAGCCAGAUGGACCGAUGACUCAGGAGGCACACAGCUGGAAUUGAGUUUGCAUGCAAAAGACUGACACAUUUAUCUCUCAGCUUUUUGUGUUGUCCCUACUGACAAUGACUGAAGCAAGAACUACAGUAAGCUGGUUGGUGCCAGAAGGGCAUCAGUAGUCCCAUCCUCCACUCUGCCAUCAUCUAUUCCUAAGCAUACGGUGCCUCUGUUUCUUUUAUUUCUUUUUACUUGAUCUUAGGUGAAUGAAUAUUCUAAGAAAGAGGGUCAGUGGAUUUAGAAGAUCCAGUAGAGCCAUUAAAGGCUCCCAAGUCCAAGAGAACAUGAACCCGGCAUACAUAAGCAAUAUGGUAGCACCUGGCUUUUCUAAAGUUAACACAAUCUUAGUUAACACGAAGCCUGUGGUCCACACUGCUUGCCAAGAAAGCAGCAAGGAAGAUUAACAUCAAGGACCACUAACAAAGGAAUCAUCAGCAAGAAUGAAGAUGAAUCAGAAUUCACUGCUCCCCUCACCUACACUUCUCCAUUUCCCUGGCAGAAUUCCUUCAAGACUCAGCUCAAAUAUUACCCUCUGCAAGAGGCCUUUCUCAGUCUUACAGAUCCUAGUGUCUUUCCCUCUGAGAUUACUUUACACUGGCUCUGUAUAGAUCCUAUAUCUACCUAAAUAUUUAUAUAUUGUCUCCCCCAUUAGAACAAAAACUCCUUGAGGGCAAGGACUGUUUUUGCUACUCUUUGUAUCCCCAAUGCCCAGAACAAUACCUGG
Molecule: non-coding RNA, 1028 nt
Organism: Phascolarctos cinereus (koala)
Lineage: Eukaryota; Metazoa; Chordata; Mammalia; Diprotodontia; Phascolarctidae
Source: RefSeq, a predicted model, not a curated record